This 462-nucleotide ribosomal RNA is filed under the name uncultured bacterium. RNAcentral's name for it is "partial 16S ribosomal RNA". It matches the Rfam family "Bacterial small subunit ribosomal RNA", at positions 28 to 507 of the family's 1533-position model. The record is from RNAcentral.
GACGAACGCUGGCGGCGUGCUUAACACAUGCAAGUCGAACGGAAAGGCCCUUCGGGGUACUCGAGUGGCGAACGGGUGAGUAACACGUGGGUGAUCUGCCCUGCACUUUGGGAUAAGCCUGGGAAACUGGGUCUAAUACCGAAUAGGACCACGCGCUUCAUGGUGUGUGGUGGAAAGCUUUUGCGGUGUGGGAUGGGCCCGCGGCCUAUCAGCUUGUUGGUGGGGUAAUGGCCUACCAAGGCGACGACGGGUAGCCGGCCUGAGAGGGUGACCGGCCACACUGGGACUGAGAUACGGCCCAGACUCCUACGGGAGGCAGCAGCGGGGAAUAUUGCACAAUGGGCGCAAGCCUGAUGCAGCGACGCCGCGUGAGGGAUGACGGCCUUCGGGUUGUAAACCUCUUUCAAUAGGGACGAAGCGCAAGUGACGGUACCUAUAGAAGAAGCACCGGCCAACUACGUG